UGGCGGACGGGUGAGUAAUGCUUAGGAAUCUGCCUAUUAGUGGGGGACAACAUCUCGAAAGGGAUGCUAAUACCGCAUACGUCCUACGGGAGAAAGCAGGGGACCUUCGGGCCUUGCGCUAAUAGAUGAGCCUAAGUCGGAUUAGCUAGUUGGGUGGGGUAAAGGCCUACCAAGGCGACGAUCUGUAGCGGGUCUGAGAGGAUGAUCCGCCACACUGAGACUGAGACACGGCCCAGACUCCUACGGGAGGCAGCAGUGGGGAAUAUUGGACAAUGGGGGGAACCCUGAUCCGGCCAUGCCGCGUGUGUGAAGAAGGCCUUUUGGUUGUAAAGCACUUUAAGCGAGGAGGAGGCUACCGAGAUUAAUACUCUUGGAUAGUGGACGUUACUCGCAGAAUAAGCACCGGCUAACUCUGUGCCAGCAGCCGCGGUAAUACAGAGGGUGCAAGCGUUAAUCGGAUUUACUGGGCGUAAAGCGCGCGUAGGUGGCCAAUUAAGUCAAAUGUGAAAUCCCCGAGCUUAACUUGGGAAUUGCAUUCGAUACUGGUUGGCUAGAGUAUGGGAGAGGAUGGUAGAAUUCCAGGUGUAGCGGUGAAAUGCGUAGAGAUCUGGAGGAAUACCGAUGGCGAAGGCAGCCAUCUGGCCUAAUACUGACACUGAGGUGCGAAAGCAUGGGGAGCAAACAGGAUUAGAUACCCUGGUAGUCCAUGCCGUAAAUGUUUUUUACUAGCCGUUGGGGCCUUUGAGGCUUUAGUGGCGCAGCUAACGCGAUAAGUAG
This 777-nucleotide ribosomal RNA is filed under the name uncultured Acinetobacter sp. RNAcentral's name for it is "bacterial SSU rRNA". It matches the Rfam family "Bacterial small subunit ribosomal RNA", at positions 96 to 867 of the family's 1533-position model. Lineage: Bacteria; Pseudomonadati; Pseudomonadota; Gammaproteobacteria; Moraxellales; Moraxellaceae. The record is from RNAcentral.